ACGCUGGCGGCAGGCCUAACACAUGCAAGUCGAGCGGUAACAGAAAGUAGCUUGCUACUUUGCUGACGAGCGGCGGACGGGUGAGUAAUGCCUGGGAAUAUGCCUUGAUGUGGGGGAUAACUAUUGGAAACGAUAGCUAAUACCGCAUAAUGUCUUCGGACCAAAGAGGGGGAUCUUCGGACCUCUCGCGUCAAGAUUAGCCCAGGUGAGAUUAGCUAGUUGGUGGGGUAAGAGCUCACCAAGGCGACGAUCUCUAGCUGGUCUGAGAGGAUGAUCAGCCACACUGGAACUGAGACACGGUCCAGACUCCUACGGGAGGCAGCAGUGGGGAAUAUUGCACAAUGGGCGAAAGCCUGAUGCAGCCAUGCCGCGUGUAUGAAGAAGGCCUUCGGGUUGUAAAGUACUUUCAGUCGUGAGGAAGGGUGUGCAGUUAAUAGCUGYAYAUCUUGACGUUAGCGACAGAAGAAGCACCGGCUAACUCCGUGCCAGCAGCCGCGGUAAUACGGAGGGUGCGAGCGUUAAUCGGAAUUACUGGGCGUAAAGCGCAUGCAGGUGGUUCAUUAAGUCAGAUGUGAAAGCCCGGGGCUCAACCUCGGAACCGCAUUUGAAACUGGUGAACUAGAGUGCUGUAGAGGGGGGUAGAAUUUCAGGUGUAGCGGUGAAAUGCGUAGAGAUCUGAAGGAAUACCAGUGGCGAAGGCGGCCCCCUGGACA
This 713-nucleotide ribosomal RNA is filed under the name Vibrio sp. 7A08. RNAcentral describes it as "bacterial SSU rRNA". It matches the Rfam family "Bacterial small subunit ribosomal RNA", at positions 33 to 735 of the family's 1533-position model. Lineage: Bacteria; Pseudomonadati; Pseudomonadota; Gammaproteobacteria; Vibrionales; Vibrionaceae. The record is from RNAcentral.